UGAACGAUGGCUUUUUCGGGAUCUAAAGAAGAUGGAAGAGAGGUGAAGAUUUACGAGUAUUUGGAUGAACUAAGCACUGAUCUAGCAGACUAUAUUUCAGAACUCUCAGAAGCUUCUGUGAAAGAGAGGGGAGUAUUUGCCAUCGCGUUAUCUGGUGGAUCCCUCAUUAGCUUAAUUACAAAACUAUGUGAAGUCCCUUACAGCAAGACUGUUGAUUGGUCCAAAUGGUAUAUAUUUUGGGUGGACGAACGUGUUGUGGCGAAGAAUCAUGUUGAUAGUAAUUACAAGCUAGCCAAAGAUGUUUUUUUGUCUAAGGUCCCUAUAGUUCCAAGCCAUGUACAUUCGAUUAACGACACAGUGACAGCUGAGAAGGCUGCUGAAGACUAUGAGUUUGUAAUUAGACAGCUAGUAAGGACUCGUGUAAUCAGCGUUUCAGACGUUAGUGACUGCCCCAAGUUUGACCUCAUCUUACUCGGGAUGGGACCUGACGGUCACAUUGCAUCUCUAUUCCCUGAUCACUCCAUACUCGAUGAGAAAGACGAAUGGGUAACUUUUGUUACCGACUCACCUAAGCCACCUCCGGAGAGGAUUACUUUUACUUUGCCUGUCAUUAACUCUGCUUCUAAUGUGGCUGUGGUUGUAACUGGAAGCAGCAAAGCAGAGGCUGCACAUUUGGCAAUUGAUGAUGUCGGACCUGACGUUCCGUCAUCGCCUGCAAAGAUGGUCCAGCCAAAUAAAGGGAAAUUAGUAUGGUAUCUGGAUAAAGCAGCAGCCUCAAAACUAGAUUGCACAAGAUUUUCAGAGUAGGGCCUAAGGGUUACAAGCUCCCUCUUGUCAACAAAAUGUACAACAA
RNAcentral lists this unclassified non-coding RNA (853 nucleotides) under Hevea brasiliensis (rubber tree). Lineage: Eukaryota; Viridiplantae; Streptophyta; Magnoliopsida; Malpighiales; Euphorbiaceae. The record is from RNAcentral.